GAAAUGCGAUAAGUAAUGUGAAUUGCAGAAUUCAGUGAAUCAUCGAAUCUUUGAACGCACAUUGCGCCCGCCAGUAUUCUGGCGGGCAUGCCUGUUCGAGCGUCAUUUCAACCAUCAAGCCCCCCGCUUGUGUUGGGGACCUGCGGCUGCCCGCAGGCCCUGAAAAACAGUGGCGGGCUCGCUGUCACACCGAGCGUAGUAGCAUACAUUCUCGCUCAGGGCGUGCUGCGGGUUCCGGCCGUUAAACGACCUUCAUAACCCAAGGUUGACCUCGGAUCAGGUAGGAAGACCCGCUGAACUUAAGC
Molecule: unclassified non-coding RNA, 305 nt
Filed under: plant metagenome
Description: partial contains 5.8S ribosomal RNA, internal transcribed spacer 2, and large subunit ribosomal RNA
Rfam family: 5.8S ribosomal RNA (bases 1-105)
Source: RNAcentral